RNAcentral lists this transfer RNA (102 nucleotides) under Lasiosphaeria miniovina. It matches the Rfam family "tRNA". Rfam says of the family: Transfer RNA (tRNA) molecules are approximately 80 nucleotides in length. Their secondary structure includes four short double-helical elements and three loops (D, anti-codon, and T loops). Further hydrogen bonds mediate the characteristic L-shaped molecular structure. tRNAs have two regions of fundamental functional importance: the anti-codon, which is responsible for specific mRNA codon recognition, and the 3' end, to which the tRNAs corresponding amino acid is attached (by aminoacyl-tRNA synthetases). tRNAs cope with the degeneracy of the genetic code in two manners: having more than one tRNA (with a specific anti-codon) for a particular amino acid; and 'wobble' base-pairing, i.e. permitting non-standard base-pairing at the 3rd anti-codon position. Lineage: Eukaryota; Fungi; Ascomycota; Sordariomycetes; Sordariales; Lasiosphaeriaceae. The record is from Rfam by way of RNAcentral.
GGCAAGAUGGCCGAGCGGUCUAAGGCGCCACGUUAAGGAAUCCACCCUUAAUCUCAGUAUCCGUGGUCCGAAAGGGCGUGGGUUCGAAUCCCACUCUUGUCA